RNAcentral lists this ribosomal RNA (191 nucleotides) under Vibrio parahaemolyticus. Its description in RNAcentral is "partial 23S ribosomal RNA". It matches the Rfam family "Bacterial large subunit ribosomal RNA", at positions 1461 to 1628 of the family's 2925-position model. The record is from RNAcentral. Lineage: Bacteria; Pseudomonadati; Pseudomonadota; Gammaproteobacteria; Vibrionales; Vibrionaceae.
CUUACAAUUGCGAUGGGGGGGACGGAGAAGGCUAGGUGGGCCUGGCGACGGUUGUCCAGGUUCAAGUGCGUAGGCUUAAGAGUUAGGUAAAUCCGGCUCUUUCUAAGGCUGAGACACGACGUCGAGCACCUACGGGUGUGAAGUCAUUGAUGCCAUGCUUCCAGGAAAAGCCUCUAAGCUUCAGGAUGGAG